RNAcentral lists this small RNA (277 nucleotides) under Marmota monax (woodchuck). The record is from RNAcentral. Lineage: Eukaryota; Metazoa; Chordata; Mammalia; Rodentia; Sciuridae.
CUCUCCACCCAAGCCAACAGCUUCUAACUACAAACAUUCCGCCCUCUCGCUUUCCCUAGGUUCAUUUGUAGUUCUGUGUCACUCAUUUGUUUCUUUAAGAAACCUACCGGCCUCACAAAGAUCAAAAUCUUCGGUAACACGUUCAGCUGGCGUCACUGUGAAGCUGCAGGCACUUUCAUCGUGGCUGGCCAGCAAGGAGGACGUAGGAAGAAAAAGCAGGGAACCGGUUCCUCUUGAGCAAGCGCCAAAGCGAAGACUGAAAAGACUGGAAGAAAGC